AACCCCAUGGUUUCCCCUGGAAAGCCAGGACCUAUUUCGUUCUCCCUCUCCGCUAGUCCUUCGUAACAGCCUCCGAGCCAGACCACUGCCUGCGCUCCCGGCUCCGAGGGAGGCAGCAGAUAAACUACCCCACUGUCCCUUCCACACCCACUGGGGAUAUUGUUCGCAGCAGGCGGCGAGGGGGCGGGCACUGGCCUCUUCCCUUCCCAUUGGCUCAGCCGCGGAGGGCGCGGCGCGGGGUGCUCUGGGAUAUGUAGUUCUGUGCUGGUGCCGUGGCUGUGGCGCAUGUGCAGAGAGUGUAUGAGGUGAGUGGUGGGGGUAUACGCCAUAGCUUGUGCUGUUGGACGCUGGAGAGCGGAGCGAGGCUGCGGGUCGGGACAGGUCGGAUUGGGUCAGGUCUGAUCAGAGGGAUGAGGAUGCCCUCAAUCUCCAUCCCCAGCUUCCAGCACGCCCUCUGGGAGACAGGAAACAGACACGCCAAGCUCGUCCUUCAUACGGCAUUGUUCUACCGAGCACAAUGAGGUUUGUAAUGCUGAACAGAGGAACACCUAAAUGUCCUUACCAAGAAAAGAAAAGAAACCAGAGGGGGUGUGAAGAGUGGAGCAUGCAGCCAGACGCCUCUCCCUCAGUUUCAUUGGUUACCCUCUCCACUAUCUGCCAGCACUUACAUAGGUUGCAUGUAGACAGAGAUUGAUGAGCGGCCAGCAGCUGUGAACAGCAGAGACUGUAAUGAGACAGUGGCUUCACAAAACUGUAAAUCCAGUUGUAGGAUAGCUAGGAUUAGAUUAAAAAUGCUGCUGCCCUUAGACACAAGAUGCUGAAGUAGUAUAAGACUACUCUGUUUGAUUAAAGGGUGGUGGUGGUGAGAAUAUUUAAAUAAACAAAUGAAGGAAUAAUUUUUAUCUGGCAGAAUUAUCCAAGAUUGGGUAUCAAAUAACCUUAUUUAUGAAUGAACUUUCUUUGCCAGCCCAAAGGCUCUUUGACAGUUCUUUCGUGCUCCCUUUCUGCACUUGUCAUGGAACCCAAAUGAUUCCAAGAAAUCCCUGUAUAUGCAUAAGUUUGGGUGCAUGUUUUUUGUCUUUUAUUUGGACCCUUGCUGAAAUCCAGCAUUUUGUUGUAAACUGUCUUAGCUCCAACAACAGCAGCUUUGAAGAAUUUCCUGGUGGCAUAGUGUCACUGAUCAGACAGAGCCUGGAUUAGAGCCACAGUGGAAAUCAUGUUCUUGGCAAGCACAUUCCUUAGGCACUGUUCCACAUGAUCCCAAGUGGACCAAAUCAGAGGUAUUUAACCUGCUUUGUUUCUGUGGAAAACAUCUAUCAAGAACACCAUGGGAACUCAAGGCAUGAAUUCUUCGGUAGUGUCCUUUCUUUGGAAAUGUGUCAGCCUGGAGACUUCGAACAGUGCAGAACUGGGUUAAGAAUCCUGCCUCCAGGAAGGCCAAUAAUAAACAUGAAUGCGACCUAAAACACAGAGCUUCCCUUCCCUUCUACCACAUCUAUCAUCAUUGCACCUGCUUCUGACUCACCUGAUGUUCUCCUAGGAUUUUCUCACAUCAUAACUGUGUGGUGGCAACCAUGAGAAAACAGGCUGAAAAGAAGAGUGAAAAGAAGAGAGAAUGAUGAGAUCAGAACUCAGAUCCUUCUGUUAGCUUAUUGAGAUAUAAGAACAAGGAAUGGUUAUUAUGAAGAAGAGUCAUUGCUCUGAAGGCAAAUGAACAAGCUGGCUUCCUUCUGGCUUCAGCAGGAGACAAUGACAGCUCUAUCCAGCAACCACCCUUCUAUUUUUAGAGGUCACAUUACUAACAGCUCAUAUGCAUUAGCUUCAGUUUAGUCAUCUGAACUAUUCUGUAAUUACUAAUUUAAUGUUAUUAAAGUAUUUAUAUCUAAUAUCAAUGCAAAUAUCACCAUGUGGAGUAAGCCAAUGUCAGGUUGACCUGUCAACCCCUGGCAGAAUGCCCUAAGUGGCAGAAAAGGGACAGGAGAAUGAGUUAAAGCUGGAAAAGCUGUAGAAAGGCCUUGCAAAGGUAAAGAAGAAAAUAAGAAAUUAAUAUGAUAAAAAUCUGCCACUUUAUUUUUUCCAGAAAAUUCACAAAGUGAGUGGGAAACAGGACCAGGACAGUGAUAGAUAUGUCUGAGAACUGUCAUUUUCUUCAGCAGCCCAUGGGGGGAAAUCUGUGGAGAAACAGGGAGCUGGUCAAUGAUACCCAUUUUGCUCAGUCUGUCAUUCCUACAGGUCAAGGAGCAGCAGUGGAGAAGGUGAAGUUUACUGAAGGGUGAAAAUCCUGUGUCAGCCUAGUAGAUGGAAGAUAAUAACUGCACAUAAAGAAAGAUGAAGUUCAAGUUGCCAUGUCAACAAGGUGGUAUCUAUGUGGAAAUGUAAUGGCUGUUGGCAAAAGGUCUUCUUCUGGCUUAGUACCCACCAGUGCUCCCCACUGAGGAGUUUUUCAUCAGUGACAAGAGAAUCAUCUCAACUGCACUCUUCUGUAAGAGAACAUGCAGGAAGAAAUUACUGUACUGUGUAGUUUCAGAGUAAAAAGAUGCCUACAGGGGGAGUACUGGAGAAGAAUGACACCAAAAUGCAGAAGAAAAGGAAAACAAUUUUCUAACAAAAACUAGUCUUCUUGCUUGUGUUGUUCCUUGUUCAAAGGUAAAGAUGUAAUUUUUUUAUAUGAAAAUUUUCAUCUCUUACAGUCCCAGGAAAAAGUGGAAUUUUGAAGCAAUUGAGAAGAUUUUCCAAAGUCUGUUGCUCUGCCUGCAUUUCACAAGCCAGAGAGAUAGUAUUUUUUGAUAGUUACAUGCUCAGAAUGUGAAGUCCUUCCUGCGGCUUUUUUUGCAAAGCACAGAUAUAAGCUGUGCCUGCCCAAGUUUAUGUAUGAACAUGUAAAAGCUAAAAGCUGUGAACUUGGCCUAUACUGUACUUUGGCAAAAGGUGGUUUUAUCAGAUGUAUAACUGUGAUACCAGAAUAUUCAAUUAAAAAAAAAAAAGGAAAUACUGUAGACAGUAUUGUCAAUUUCAAAUAUUGUUCUGUAUUCUACAAAUACAGAAAGAAAUAGAAGCAAAGAGAAGUGCCUAGACAGAAAACUUAUUAUUGCUAAGAAGAAGAAUAGAUAUAUUCUAAACAUAGGUCUUAGUAUGUCAGAGACGAGUCAAAUUGAUUUUGUAGAUGUAUCAGAGUAAAAGCCAACAGGAAUUAACAGGGCAUUUUGUACUUUAAAAAAAGGGGGGAAAAAAAGAAGUUAAAUAUGUUACUUAAUAGGAAGCCACUGGUUCCAGAAGCAGAGAACGUGUCACAAGAGAAGAAUAACUGCAAAGAUAAAUAGAAGUAUGCACCUGUUCACCAUAUACAAAAUAUUGCAAUACCACCCAAUACCACAAAGCAAAUUAGAUGCUUAUUUUCCUGUCAUAUUUCACCUGUUCCAGAACAGAUGAUUUCCUGAUAGUCUAAAUAUGUCCCCAACUUAACCAAUAUAUUCAGGAAUCAAGAAAAAGAAAAAAGAUUCACAGAUUAAUUUUGUUUUUUGAAGGGCUUAGUCCUGUGUUUUUCUGUGAGCUAAAUGGUUAUACUGAGUCCAAUGCAUUGUCAUAUUGACUUGUGCAGUUAUAUUUACCGCUUCAAAUCAACCCCAACAUCUUUUGUAGCAUAUAAUACAGAUUUAUUUUUAUUUUCUGGAGCAACUUAUGCAAACAGAAUGUUUACUGAGAUAAGACUAUAUAAAGGUUGUAUAAAGUUAUGCCAUCACUUGUGCAGAAUUAUGCAUCUAAGUAAAGAUGGGUCCACAGCUUAGAAAAAGAAACAUUAUUCAUGAAUAUACAUCUUAAAUUAAGUGAUAGAAUAAAAUAUAUGAUUGGAUAAAGUGAUUUUUUUGUGGUUUCUCUUCUGUGUAGAUUGUUUUUGCAGGGGGGCAAAAAAAUAUAUCUGUGCCUUCUCUUUAAGUCAGUAAGUGCCCUCUGGGUCAAUUAUCAAAGAGGAAGGGAAGCUCUUUACGGUCAUCUUACUAAAGGAAUUACAGAGCUCUUCAAAGAGAUUACAAGCUUUUGGGUACUGUAACACCCACAUCAAUAAUAUUAAAUAGCAUUUGCUAUUAAAGGGAAUCCUGUUACGAAUGAGUUUCUGGUCUAAAACUCAGAUUCCAUCUAAUCUUUUAGUUGGUUUCAUUCCUUUGACACAGACUUGAAUAGAAGCAUUACGUUUGCUCCAGCUGUGUAGCAUUGCUUUAAUACCAGCAACUGCAAAGAUAUUUUUUGCUCAGACCAUAGAAGUAUCUGGAAUUUUGGGUAUUGUUUUGGAACUUUUUCAAAUCUGUUGUUUUCUGGUACUAUGAAGUGUUCUUUUUAUUCUCUACAAAUAAAAAAUCUUUUCUGCAGCUGCCAUUAGAGUCCAGUUUUACAUCUUGUCUUUCAAAUCACUAAUAACCUGUAACCAAAUGUCUGUCAUGUCCUAUCCUUAGUUGACAAGGAUCUUUUAAGCAUGGGUGUGUGUACUCUCACGCUGGAAAAGCACAGAGGAGGAAUGUUGGAAUGGGUGUAAAGUGAUUGAUAUAUAUAUACUAUGCUGAUUGAUAUAUAUGUGUGAUUUCAUGUGCACUGUAUUUGUGUAUGUUAUCCACAUGGAAGAAGAUGUGUUUUUUUCAAAUUUGCCAUUUUUAUGCUCACUUAUUUGCAAUGGCCUUUUUUGAGAAAUAGUAGUUUCAUUCUGUGUAAAUAGGCAGCCAUUUGACACCUAAUUAAUAAACUGGCUAUAUUCUGCUCA
Molecule: long non-coding RNA, 4750 nt
Organism: Melopsittacus undulatus (budgerigar)
Lineage: Eukaryota; Metazoa; Chordata; Aves; Psittaciformes; Psittaculidae
Exons: 6
Source: RefSeq, a predicted model, not a curated record